GCGGAUGUAGCUCAGUUGGUAGAGCGCCGGUUUGUGGUACCGGUUGUCGCGGGUUCGAGCCCCGUCAUUCGCCCCA
This 76-nucleotide transfer RNA is filed under the name Kozakia baliensis. RNAcentral describes it as "tRNA-His". It matches the Rfam family "tRNA". Rfam says of the family: Transfer RNA (tRNA) molecules are approximately 80 nucleotides in length. Their secondary structure includes four short double-helical elements and three loops (D, anti-codon, and T loops). The record is from RNAcentral. Lineage: Bacteria; Pseudomonadati; Pseudomonadota; Alphaproteobacteria; Acetobacterales; Acetobacteraceae. RNAcentral also lists the same sequence under 1 other name.